Molecule: ribosomal RNA, 210 nt
Filed under: uncultured Chlamydiales CRG72
Lineage: Bacteria; Pseudomonadati; Chlamydiota; Chlamydiia; Chlamydiales
Description: partial 16S ribosomal RNA
Rfam family: Bacterial small subunit ribosomal RNA
Source: RNAcentral
ACGGAACCUUCGGGUUCAGUGGCGGAAGGGUUAGUAAUACAUGGGUAACCUGCCUUUGACUCUGGGAUAACGGUUGGAAACGACCGCUAAUACCGGAUACGGUGAGAAAAAGACAUCUUUUUCUUAUUAAAGUGGGGGGUCGUAAGACCUCGCGGUUAAAGAGAGGCCCAUGGGAUAUCAGCUAGUUGGUAGGGUAAAGGCCUACCAGGG